Molecule: ribosomal RNA, 124 nt
Filed under: uncultured bacterium
Lineage: Bacteria
Description: partial 16S ribosomal RNA
Source: RNAcentral
AAUUUGUUCCUGAGCCUUGUACACACCGCCCGUCAAGCCACCCGAAUUGGUCGGUACCCGAAGUAAUAGUUCCAACCGACAAGGAGGGACGUUACCUAAGGUAAUGCCGGGUAAGGGGGAACUA